This 165-nucleotide ribosomal RNA is filed under the name uncultured Pseudomonadota bacterium. RNAcentral's name for it is "uncultured proteobacterium partial 16S ribosomal RNA". The record is from RNAcentral. Lineage: Bacteria; Pseudomonadati; Pseudomonadota.
GCUAUGGGCGCAGCUGAUGCAGCAUGCCGCGUGAGUGAUGAGGCCUUCGGGUUGUAAAGCUCUUUUAUCCGGGAAGAAAAUGACCGGACCGGUAGAAGAUGCCCCGGACCGUUCCAUUCCAGCACCCCCCCCCUUAUUUUAUGCCCGCCGCCGCUAUAUUACGGU